GCACAGGCCUGCGGCUGGCAGAGAGCCGGGUCGAGCCAGCCCUGGAGAAGCAGGCCCAGCUGGAGGAGCAGCUGCGGGACAAGGUGCUCCACGAGAAGGACCUGUCCCAGCAGCAGAUGCAAAGCGACCUGGACAAGGCUGACCUCAGUGCCAGGAGGGUCCCUGGUGGGUGCUGCACGAGGCAGGCGUCACUGCAGAAGAGUGACAGAGCUGGGCCUGGCAGUGAAGCGUCUUCAGAAGCAGAAUCUGGAGAAGGAUCAGGUCGACAAGGACCUCACCGAGAAGCUUGAGGCCCUGGAAUCCCUGCGGCUACAGGAGCAGGCGGCCCUGGAGACAGAGGACGGAGAGGGGCUACAGCAGAGCCUAAGGGACUUGGCACAGGCCGUCCUGUCUGACGCUGAGAGCGGCAGCCUGCGUCCAACAGCGUCCGACCGCAGCCUGCGGGGGCUCUCGGGCCAGCGGACCCCGUCUCCACCGCGGCGCUCCUCGCCGGGCCGAGGCCGUUCGCCCCGCAGAGGCCCCUCCCCGGCCUGCUCAGACGACUCCACGCUCGCUUGCCCUGAUUCUCUCCGCCCUGCACUUUUGCCAGCUGAAGGUCCAGAACAUGCGUGGGCGCUAUGAGGCAAGCCAGGACCUGCUGGGCACCCUGCGGAAGCAGCUUAGCGACAGCGAGAGUGAGCGGCAGGCCCUAGAGGAACACCUGCGUGGCGCCGUCGGUCUUGUCCCGGAGAAGAGCAACCUGGUCCACAGCCUGCAGGUGGCCCAGCAGCAGGCCGAGGAGCUGCCGCAGGAGCGGGAGAAGCUGCAGGUUGCCCAGGAGGAGCUGCAGCGCCAGCGGGACCGGCUGGAGGAAGAGCAGGAAGAGGCGGUGCAGAAUGGCGCACGGGUUCGCCGGGAGCUUGAGCGCAGCCAUAGACAACUAGAGCAGCUGGAAGGGAAGCGCUCAGUCCUGGCCAAGGAGCUGGUGGAGGUGAGGGAGGCGCUGAGCCGCGCCACGCUGCAACGGGACAUGCUGCAGGCCGAGAAGACCGAGGUGGCCGAGGCGCUGACCAAGGCUGAGGCUGGCCGCAUGGAGCUCGAGCUCUCCGUGACCAAGCUGAGGGCAGAGGAGGCCUCCCUGCAGGACUCCCUGUCCAAGCUGAGCGCCCUCAACGAGAGCCUUGCUCAGGACAAGUUGGAUCUGAACUGCCUUGUCACCCAGCUGGAGGAAGAAAAGGCCACGCUGCAGGGCCGGCAGCGGCAGGCGGAGCAGGAGGCCACAGUGGCGCCGGCAGAGCAGGAGUGGCUGGAGGAGCUGUGGUUGGAGCAGGAGGUGGCACGGCAGGGCCUGGAGGGCUCCCUAUGAGUGGCGGAGCAGGCCCAGGAGGCGCUGGAGCAACAGCUCCCCACACUGCACCAUGAGCUCAGUUGGCUGCAGGAGCAGCUAGCACAGCUCUCCUGGCAGCUGAGCAGGCGGGAGCAGGAGCUGGAGCAGGCCCGGUGGGAGGCCCAGUGACAGGUGGAGACGCUGGGGCGAGUGGCCCGGGAGAAGGAGGCGCUAGCCAAGGAGCACGCUGGCCUGGCUGUGCAGCUGGCGGCCUGCGGAGCGUGAAGGCAGGACCGUGUCAGAGGAGGCCACACACCUGCACUUGGAGAAGGAAGCCCUGGAGGGCAGCCUGUUUGAGGUGCAAUGGCAGCUGGCCCAGCUUGAGGCCCGCCGGGAGCAGCUGGAAGCCGAGGGGCAGGCCCUGCUGCUGGCCAAGGAGACCCUGACUGGGGAGUUGGCGGGCCUGCGGCAGCAAAUAAUAGCUACGCAGGAGAAAGCCAGUCUAGACAAGGAGCUGAUGGCCCAGAAGCUGGUGCAGGCUGAGCGGGAGGCCCAGGCCUCUCUGCGGGAGCAGUGGGCAGCCCACGAGGAGGACUUACAGUGACUCCAGCGUGAAAAGGAGGCAGCAUGGCGGGAGCUGGAGGCCGAGCGGGCCCAGCUGCAGAGUCAGCUGCAGCGUGAGCAGGAGGAGCUGCUGGCCCGGCGGAAGGCUGAGAAGGAACAGCUGAGUGAGGAGAUUGCUGCCCUGCAGCAGGAGCAUGACGAGGGCCUCCUCCUGGCCGAGAGCGAGAAGCAGCAGGCCUUGUCUCUGAAGGAGUCUGAGAAGAUGGCGCUGUCAGAGAAGUUGAUGGGUACACGGCACAGCCUGGCCACCAUCUCCCUGGAGAUGGAGCGGCAGAAACCAGAUGCCCAGAGCCGGCAGGAGCAGGACCGGGUAGGCCUGCCGUCGUAGGGAGGCUUGCGGAGCAGGAGCGCCCUCUCUCCACCGAGCUAUCCCGCGGUUUCCAGCAUCCCAUCUGGCGGACUCCUCUUCCUCUCUCUUCUCCUACUCUGGGUCUUCUAUCCUGGUGUUCCUUGAAUGCCUAUCUUCCUUUUGUGCCUCGGAACCUCUCACGCCUGCCACAAGUUACUCUUUUCCUUGGUAGUUCUGAACUUUAAAUAAGGUAAUGCCUGUAAGAAUGCCAUAAAUGCUCAAUAAUUGUCAUCUGUUAUUAUUUUCAUCAGUAACAUCAUCUGAAUCAUCAGUAUUGUCUGCUUUUAACAGCUGCAUUUUUCAUUGUCCAAAUAUAGUCACAUACAUUUGACCAUUUUAUAAUUAUUGAAUAAUAAAUUCGUUCUGCUAUUUUACAAUGAAAAAUAAUGCUGCAGAGAGCAUUUUUGCACAUGUAUCGUGGCAGAUGUAGGCCAGAGGCUCUUCUUUUAUCCAUCCUAUGGCCAACCUAUGAAUGUAUACACGUUUAAUGAGAUUUUGCCAGCAAUCAAAGCCUUCAGGGAAAAUGUCCCUAGCUCUUUACUACAUCAGAUCAAGGACUCUGGAUAAUUGGCAUAACAUCCUGGAAUAGCUGAAACAGAGAUAUUAUUCUCUGCUGUCCUCUGUUGUCUUUGUCUUUUCACGUCUUAAUAAAAGUGCUGGUGACAAGAGUGUAA
Homo sapiens (human) is the source of this 2953-nucleotide RNA transcript. It is a transcript of the gene named rootletin-like, with no coding region annotated. The record is from RefSeq and is a predicted model, not a curated record. The transcript is spliced from 14 exons. Lineage: Eukaryota; Metazoa; Chordata; Mammalia; Primates; Hominidae.